ACUUAAAAGUAUCGUGUGUAGUAGACUUCUCCUGGCAAAAGGCAGGCUAGCUGGGAUCAAGAGUGGGGCAAAUGUUGUCACAGCACCGGCCCGCCACGCGUGACAAGAGCAAACGCUGAAGUAACCUGACAAACUCUCACGCUCUAACACUGGCUGCUGGCUGGACAUACUUGCAGUUACUAGUAGACCUCGCUGACUAAUAAAGACUUUCUGCACUGCUGUUGAGGAAUUUUGCUCUGGUGCAUGUGUUCACAUACGGAAUGUAUUUUAUAUCCGUUGCCAGGUUGGAGUCGGAGUGACAAGUUGACGAGCGCCUGCGUGCAAGGCGCGACAUGCAUCUAAUUCCUGGGUGUAUCCAACUAAUUACAUGGUGUUUUUUUUCGUGACUUAUAAAGGACACUAAAACGUGAAUCAGCUUGCUUUUUGAAAUAUAAGUGAAAGAGAGAAAUUUGAAAACAACAACCACUUAAAGGUUGUUUCACGCAUGGACCUCCGAUAGAACAAAUGUGCCCAAGCUUUAGAUCCGUAGCCGAGUGGAAAUGUCAAUGAGGGAGAGUGGCGAGAAGGGAGGGGGAAAAGUGCGCUCCUUAGCAGCCCAACUUUCUCGUCAGCAUCAAGCUGAGCCCUCCUGUGAUUGGCUGCGGCUGCAGGCUGCGUCACAGCUCAGGCGCGACGCCGGACGCAGAAAGUGCCUCAUCGAGGUAGCCUGGCCCGGCGUGGGCGGGACCCUUCACGAAUCAAGCUGGAAUAAGUUGCUAUCUGGCUCCAUAAAACAGUCCUAUAAUCGGGCUCUGGCUUUUAGCGAGGAAGGCUAAAAGCCCAGCGAGUCUCUCUCACAAGAUGACGUGCCUGUGUUUUGUGUCAAUUUGAACAAGGCGGCGAGUAAAUACAUGGACAACGGUGACGACCGUGCGUCUCCCAGGAAGUGGACACACAUCGAGGACGGCGCUCAGACAGGUAUGGACCGGCCAGGUCUGGUCUGCUUGUUCCAUUAUUAUUUGGAGGGACGUCCAUUAGGCGCGGCGGUACCGUGCAACGCAGCAGGGUGCUCGACUCUCACCCUUUGCUUAUCAGGCUGUCAAUAAACAGAGACGGGCUGCAGCGGUUAAAGCCAGGUGCUGCCUUUCCCUGCACCCCCACCGCUCUCCAUAAGCUGAUCAGGCGUGAACGCAAAUCUGUCCACUGCCAUUCUCCCUCGACCGUCACCACGCUGCACACCGCCAGCCCUCCUUAAAAGCACGCGUGCACUCAUUGUUUUAUGAGAAACGGGUCUUUACAGUUACUAUUUUACAGCUAUACCGCACAUGUCCAUCCCCGUCUCCAUGGUGACCACGCGCGUGUACACGGUGGGCCUUUGCGCUCUUGUUCUUGAUUCGCGUGUAUAAACUUUGAGACAAAUGACGUCAGGAUGGACGCUGCCUGAUUGUCUUACCAGUGAUUAAUUGCACUUUACAUUGUUUGUUUGACUUUAUCCUUGCCUUGAUUGAGUUUUUUUCGUUCCAUGAAAAAAACUUCAGCUAACUGAGCGUCUACUUUUUGUUUCUUCUUUGGCUUUUUGUAACAUCCACCACAGACGUGACAGUAAUGACAAGUAGAAAAACAUUUGUCACUACAAAAGCAAAAAAUGAAUAUUGAUUGUUGAUUUGAACCUGAUGCAAGAAUUAGCCACACUUAUGAGUUCCAUGCAGUAUGCAAUUGACUGCUCUUUCUCCAUGUCAGUCGUCUUCAGUAGUGCAUGUAAACUUUUUUUUUAAAUUAAUCUGUCAGAAAUCAAAAUCUCAUUUGUAGUUUUUUUAUACGACCAUAAAGCGAAUUCUGAAGUGAAUUCUCGUGAAAAAUGAUUCUAAAAUUACAACAACUUGCGAGUCAACCAUCUUUGUGUUCACCUUUAGGUCACACGGCCAACUACAUUAACUGGUCAUUAUGCAAUCAUUUGCUGUUAUUGCAAAUGACGAUAGCAUUUUUUUAGUUUUUGAAGGCCUGUUGCUGCUUCUUGCUGCUGCUUGCCCCUCAAAACAACAGGCAUGCAUUCAAUGUGCUCCACUGAUAUAUUCAGUUUAAGACACAGUGUCCAAAGUGUGUAUAGCCUAAUUACCUCCCGCACACACACCCUGACUAUAUCUCUCUCCCCCCGUGUGUGAAAUGUUUUAAUAAGCCCCUCCACGCUCUCCAGUGUGCGGUUUGAUUUGUUUUCCCUCCCCGCUCCCGCGGCUCUGGAUGGAGACAUUAGCCGAAUUCCCCCGGGGUGAUUGGAUGCAAUUUGUCCGGAGUAGACAGCCACGGCCUGGAUGUUAGGAAUUCACUUUGGCUCAACGUGACAAGGCUGACUUCGAUCUACGAUUGCAUCUGAAAGUGCAGCGGGCGGAAAGAUGCCAUGCCAUUAAGUGUCAUCCCCCCCCAUUCUCGUUUCUUUUUCCCAAAUAACAAGAUCUUCUCAUUUUAUUCACAUAUUUGCAUAACAGUUUCACCUCUGAUGCGCACCACUCAAACAGUAAAUCCACGACCCUUUAAAUUACAUUAAUUAAAGAUUGACAGCUCUGGAUUAAACAAAUACCUGACUGACACCUGACACGACAUUUGAUUGUGUCUACGCGUCCCGUUCUCUCUCUCGCUUCUUUUAUUUAUUUUUUUUUUAUUUCCUGUGCGCAUUCACCACUCUCCGUGGCCACUAGUGGCUGAAGAAGUCAGUGUCCGUGUCGCGCUCUGAGUUGACAGGGGAAAAUGGGAGCUAACGAGCUUGUCAGCUGUCCUGACAAGACAAAUGGGAGCUCGUCACUCACCGCGCUUUAAUAACGUUUAAUGGAAGCGUAUUGAGCCUUUCAAAAAAUAAAAGUGUUACACACACGUGCGCUGUGCUUAAUUACGCACGGCGAGGUAAAUUGCGCGUCAGCUAAAGGGCGUUGGCCUGUGCCCAGCACCGUCACACAUGAGCCGAUCCAUUCAACUUGCACUACUCGCAUCCAACCUUCAUUCGGUCAGACAAUUAAUAAACACAUACACUCCUUCAUAGGACUAUGCCGACUAGUCAAAUUUGUUUCAAGAGAACAUGGCUUUUUGCGCAUGAAACUUUCACAAAUUUGCAAAAUAGAGCACAGAUUUCACCGCCCUAAAACUAAUAGAAAUAAUAUUUGGCACACGUGUUUUCUAAGAAUCUGUUAGCAUAUUAUUUCGAUUUCAAUGUGUUUUCAAUGUAAGAUUUUAAAAUAAACAAAGCUUCCACUUGUUCAAUAAAAUGAGAUCAACGUGAGAGAGGAAGCAUUAUCUUGAUCUGCAGUGAUAUCAUUUGUAUAGUUCCAAGGAAACAAAAAUAUAAGUUUUACUGCAUGCUCCACAACCGCAAUAAUAAAAUAUUGUGUAUUAAUUUGUGCACUACCAUUCCAAACUAUAAGCGUCAUCUUAGAAAAGGCAAGUAUGUUAAUCUACAUAGGAUUCUGAAGGUGUACCUAAUGAUUUGACCUGUUUUGCGUUUUUUUCGUUUUGUUUUGUUUUUAGUCACGUGCAAGUCACCUAGAAGCUUGGCUCUCGGUUUGCACGGAGGGGCUUCCCCCUAUUACUCGAGCUGGAUGACUUUAGUGAAUAAAGCUGAAGUUGUUCAUUCUUGUGUGUAAUUCAUGGUGUGUGAUAGCCAACAUCACGGUGGUAGUUGCGGUCCUGAUGCGCUAUCCCCCGGGCACAGCUUAGGCUACACGAUGGUGAGUUGAAAAUAAAUAUAUCUAUUACAAUUUGUAUUUGAUCUCAUAGGAAAUUGAAAAAAAAAUGUGCGGCUGUGUCGAACAUUAUGGACGUUGUAAUUAAAGAAAACGCAUGGUGGUUCAGUUCCACACGAUUCAACAAGCACAGUGAAUGACAGGUGACCAGAUGGCAUUUGUAAAGAUCUCUGCCUUUUUUUCCACUUUUCCCUGAUUGGAGGGAGCGUGAGGAUAUUCAUCAUUCUACUAAUGUUUGUAACCUACACACUCUUGCGCACUUUUUCUUUCUGUGUUUUGGGGAGAAAGGCGCACCUGCUGCAGAGGAGCGCCUCCAGAGAGGAUCAGAUAUAUUCUUGCGUAAACCUGGGGAGGGGGGACUCGCCAUGAGUAUAUUGUCAAUCUGAACAGAUGUUUUAGUGAGAAUACAAUAACGAGCAAACACAGACAUUAUUUUCAUUUUAAAAUUAGGGCUAGGAUGGAGAAGAAUUGUAAUUACCGUCGACGACAGACAUUUUGUGAAGAAACAACAGUUUAAAAAAUCAUGUGCGUGUUUAUAUCAAGUCACAGUAGCCCAAAAUAAUUUUCACGAAGAAAACCACAAAAUAGAGGGUGUUAAUGUUACCAUACCACAGGCCAGAGCAGCCAGCUCUAUUAUUUUCGUGCGUAAAACUACAAUAAGUACACAUGAUUACGCGCAGGCGGUCGUUAAAAGAAUGUGACAACGUGAGCGCAUAUCUUUGAGAUACGUAUACAAGGAUUCGACGCUGCGAGACGCGCAGGAAAAAAAUACUGGGCGGCGCAAAAGCAACACACUAAAUCAGGCAAUAACGACGACAAACCGUGUGGAAAAUGGACGCACAUAUCGUGCAGCAAGAAAUCACUCCUUCCUCCCGCCCUAUCCUGCUUCUUUCCUCUCUGCCUCUCAUUGGAUGACAAAGCCUGUGGUGAAGUAAAUAUUUUGAGGAUAAUUGAACUGAUUGUUAGUUGCAAGUUUCUAUGUCUUGAAUAUAAAAGGCGAGUGCGCAUUCACGGUGUCUCCCAGUCCUAUUCGGCCACAUUCAUAUUCAUAAUGUGCCCGAUCCUAACUCGCGAAGAUGCAUUUCUGCAGGAUGUGUCAUGAUGCAUUAUUUCUUUGCGCGUCAGCUUGUUGUGUCUGGAAAAUAAAUAAAUAAAUUAAGCCUCGGAGGAUCUGACACUGUAGCUCGUUGUUAAAUGUCACGUAAGUUUGACCUCUUAAAAAAAUAAAUAAUAAUAAUAAUAAUAAUUAAAAACGGUGAUCUCACGGCAAAUGGGUCUCGGGAGAU
Syngnathus typhle (broad-nosed pipefish) is the source of this 4993-nucleotide long non-coding RNA. RefSeq lists it as uncharacterized. The record is from RefSeq and is a predicted model, not a curated record. Lineage: Eukaryota; Metazoa; Chordata; Actinopteri; Syngnathiformes; Syngnathidae. The transcript has 3 exons.